This 378-nucleotide ribosomal RNA is filed under the name uncultured bacterium. RNAcentral describes it as "bacterial SSU rRNA". It matches the Rfam family "Bacterial small subunit ribosomal RNA", at positions 523 to 898 of the family's 1533-position model. The record is from RNAcentral.
AUACGGAGGGUGCAAGCGUUGUCCGGAAUUAUUGGGUGUAAAGGGUGUGCAGGCGGGGCGGUAAGUCAGGGGUGAAAGUCUACGGCUCAACCGUAGGAUGGCCUUUGAUACUGUCGUCCUUGAGUCCCGGAGAGGCCAUUAGAAUUCGUGGUGUAGCGGUGAAAUGCGUAGAUAUCACGAGGAAUACCGGAAGCGUAGGCGGAUGGCUGGACGACGACUGACGCUCAGGCACGAAAGCGUGGGGAGCGAACAGGAUUAGAUACCCUGGUAGUCCACGCUGUAAACGAUGGAUGCUCGGUGUUCGACUCCGUUAGCGGGUUGAGUGCCCAAGUUAACGCGAUAAGCAUCCCACCUGGGGAGUACGCUCGCAAGAGUGAA